GUGGGGAAUCUUGCGCAAUGGGCGAAAGCCUGACGCAGCCAUGCCGCGUGGAUGAUGAAGGUCUUAGGAUUGUAAAAUCCUUUCACCGGUGAAGAUAAUGACUGUAGCCGGAGAAGAAGCCCCGGCUAACUUCGUGCCAGCAGCCGCGGUAAUACGAAGGGGGCUAGCGUUGCUCGGAAUUACUGGGCGUAAAGGGAGCGUAGGCGGACAUUUAAGUCAGGGGUGAAAUCCCGAGGCUCAACCUCGGAACUGCCUUUGAUACUGGGUGUCUUGAGUGUGAGAGAGGUGAGUGGAACUCCGAGUGUAGAGGUGAAAUUCGUAGAUAUUCGGAAGAACACCAGUGGCGAAGGCGACACACUGGCUCAUUACUGACGCUGAGGCGCGAAAGCGUGGGGAGCAAACAGGAUUAGAAACCCGGGUAGUCC
RNAcentral lists this ribosomal RNA (425 nucleotides) under uncultured bacterium. RNAcentral describes it as "partial 16S ribosomal RNA". It matches the Rfam family "Bacterial small subunit ribosomal RNA", at positions 354 to 796 of the family's 1533-position model. The record is from RNAcentral.